GGAGAUGAAGUCAUGGCUCAGCAGUAAACCAUCUGCUUGAAAUGCAGCAGGUCCCUGGUUCAAUCCCCGGCAUCUCCA
This 78-nucleotide transfer RNA is filed under the name Sphaerodactylus townsendi. RNAcentral describes it as "tRNA-Phe". The record is from RNAcentral. Lineage: Eukaryota; Metazoa; Chordata; Lepidosauria; Squamata; Sphaerodactylidae.